RNAcentral lists this ribosomal RNA (253 nucleotides) under uncultured bacterium. RNAcentral describes it as "partial 16S ribosomal RNA". It matches the Rfam family "Bacterial small subunit ribosomal RNA", at positions 524 to 776 of the family's 1533-position model. The record is from RNAcentral.
UACGUAGGGGGCUAGCGUUGUCCGGAAUCAUUGGGCGUAAAGAGCGUGUAGGCGGCCCGGUAAGUCCGCUGUGAAAUCGCUCGGCUCAACUGGGCGGGGUCAGCGGAUACGGCGUAGCUGGAGCAAGCUAGGGGGCAAUGGAAUUCCCGGUGUAGUGGUGGAAUGCGUAGAUAUCGGGAGGAACACCAGUGGCGAAGGCGGUUGCCUGGAGCUUUGCUGACGCUGAGGCGCGAAAGCGUGGGGAGCGAUCCGG